This 250-nucleotide ribosomal RNA is filed under the name uncultured bacterium. Its description in RNAcentral is "partial 16S ribosomal RNA". It matches the Rfam family "Bacterial small subunit ribosomal RNA", at positions 28 to 280 of the family's 1533-position model. The record is from RNAcentral.
GACGAACGCUGGCGGCGUGCUUAACACAUGCAAGUCGAGCGGUAAGGCCCUUUCGGGGGUACACGAGCGGCGAACGGGUGAGUAACACGUGGGUGACCUGCCCUCAGCUCUGGGAUAAGCCUGGGAAACCGGGUCUAAUACUGGAUAUGACUCCAUGACGCAUGUUGUGGGGUGAAAGCCUUGUGCGGCUGAGGAUGGGCCCGCGGCCUAUCAGCUUGUUGGUGGGGUGAUGGCCUACCAAGGCGACGAC